This is a transfer RNA of 74 nucleotides. It matches the Rfam family "tRNA". Rfam says of the family: Transfer RNA (tRNA) molecules are approximately 80 nucleotides in length. Their secondary structure includes four short double-helical elements and three loops (D, anti-codon, and T loops). The record is from Rfam.
GGGCCGGUAGCUCAGGUGGUUAGAGCGCACGCCUGAUAAGCGUGAGGUCGGAGGUUCGAGUCCUCCUCGGCCCA